UCACCACUCAAGCCCGGCUUGUUGUUGGCGUCAGCGCGGCCUUAACGGUUGUGCUCCGCCUAAAGAUAAUGACGGCGUCUGUGAGGACUCCUGUACAUUGAGCUUUCGGGCACGUACAUGGUUAGAAGUCCAGGCGCCGGUCACCGUCCCUCGGGACACUUUUUACCAA
This 169-nucleotide unclassified non-coding RNA is filed under the name uncultured Chaetothyriales. RNAcentral's name for it is "sequence contains ITS2". Lineage: Eukaryota; Fungi; Ascomycota; Eurotiomycetes; Chaetothyriales. The record is from RNAcentral. RNAcentral also lists the same sequence under 2 other names.